This 732-nucleotide ribosomal RNA is filed under the name uncultured bacterium. RNAcentral's name for it is "bacterial SSU rRNA". It matches the Rfam family "Bacterial small subunit ribosomal RNA", at positions 63 to 807 of the family's 1533-position model. The record is from RNAcentral.
UGAGCGGAGAUAUAUGGAGCUUGCUUUAUAUAACUUAGCAGCGAACGGGUGAGUAACACGUAGAUAAUCUAUCCUAUACUGGGGGAUAGCCCGAUGAAAGUUGGAUUAAUACCGCAUAUAGCUAUAUAGUUGCAUGAUUAUGUAGUGAAAGAUUUAUUGGUAUAGGAGGAGUCUGCGGCACAUUAGCUAGUAGGUGAGGUAAAGGCUUACCUAGGCGACGAUGUGUAGCCGGUCUGAGAGGAUGAACGGCCACAAUGGAACUGAGACACGGUCCAUACUCCUACGGGAGGCAGCAGUGGGGAAUAUUGCACAAUGGGGGAAACCCUGAUGCAGCAACGCCGCGUGAGUGAAGAAGGUUUUCGGAUUGUAAAGCUCUGUUAGCAGGGAAGAGGAAGGACGGUACCUGCAGAGGAAGCCACGGCUAACUACGUGCCAGCAGCCGCGGUAAUACGUAGGUGGCAAGCGUUGUUCGGAAUAACUGGGCGUAAAGGAUGCGUAGGCGGUUAAACAAGUUAUAUGUUAAAUAUAUAGGCUUAACCUGUAGAAAGCAUAUAAAACUGUUUAACUAGAGUGCAGGAGAGGUAAGUGGAAUUCCUAGUGUAGCGGUGAAAUGCGUAGAGAUUAGGAAGAACACCAGUGGCGAAGGCGACUUACUGGACUGUAACUGACGCUGAGGCAUGAGAGCAUGGGGAGCAAACAGGAUUAGAUACCCUGGUAGUCCAUGCUGUAAAC